UGCCUGUUAGUAUAGUGGAGUACGUUAGCUUUUGGUGCUAAGAGAGAGUUGAUCAUAGGUAA
Molecule: transfer RNA, 62 nt
Filed under: Pinctada maxima (silver-lipped pearl oyster)
Lineage: Eukaryota; Metazoa; Mollusca; Bivalvia; Pterioida; Pteriidae
Description: tRNA-Gln
Source: RNAcentral